AAUAUGUGCUCCUGGCUACGCCUAGAACGGUACACAUAGUCUUAAUAUCAUGGUUGUUUUUAUUACUAUCUAUAAAUUCUAUUACGUGGUCUAAUUUCUUGUUGCAAAUAUGGCCAUAGCUUUUUUUAAUAUUUCAUUUUCCUCUUUAAUCUUUGCCAUUUCUUUCUUUAAAGCUUUAACUUCCUUCAAAGUCAUAACUUCAUUUUCAUCCACUUUAAUUUCCUUUAUAUCUUUGAUCCAGCCGUUAAUUGUUGAUUUUGCAAUGCCAUAUUCGCUACUUAGCUCAGCCAAGCUCAUUCCUGACUUAAAUAAGUCUACUAUCAUGUCUUUAUAUUCUUGAUCAUAUCUUCUGCCCUUACUCAUAAUGGACACAUCCUUUCUUAACUAAAUAUUAUUUUACUUAGUUCGACUUAAUGUGUCCACUACUUUUGGUCUUAUGUCAAUAUUUUGGACACAAAAAGUCAAACUUUUUCAUGCUGCACUUCUAGCUAAUAAUUCACAUUGAUCUGGAGUCAUGUAAUUAAUAGAAGAGUGUAUCCUUUUUCUGUUAUACCAACCUUCAAUAUAUUUAAAUAUAGCUAUAUUAGCUUCUUCGAAGGUACGGUAUGUAUUUCUAUAUAUUUCUUCCUUCUUUAUUGAAGAAUGGAAAGAUUCUAUACAAGCAUUGUCAUAUGGGCAUCCUUUUUUACUAAAUGAUUGUGUAAUAUUAAAUUCUUUACACAGUUCUUUUAAAUCAUUACUAGUGUAUUGGGAGCCUAAGUCACUAUGGAAUAUUAGCUGCUUAUUCUUAUCAGGACUUUGGCAGUAAUAAGCAUUUUUUAAAGCUUUAGAAACUAAAUCAUUGGUCAUCCUUUUACCGAAAGCGUAGCCAAUGAUUUUUCUAGAGUGUAAAUCAAGAACUGACGCUAAAUAGCACCAACCAUCUGUUAUAGUAUGAAUAUAUGUAAUAUCUCCUACCCAUUUUUCAUUAAUAGAAAUAGUUGUAAAAUCUCUUUUUAAAACGUUUUCUAAACCUUCUGCUACCUUUUUAUCUGAAUGAGGCUUGUAUUUUUUUACAGUUAUUGCACAAAGGCCAAGUUCAGUCAUUCUUCUUUGAACUCUUUUUAAGGAGAUAUCAAAGCCUUCAGUACCAAGUAUAUGAUGAAUCCUAGGAGCUCCAUAUAUACCUUUAUUAGCUUUAUAUAUCCUUAUAAUAGCUGUUUUUAACUCCUCAUUUUCUACUUCUCUUGCAGAUUUAGUUUUAUCAAAAAAUUUAUAAUAUGUGCUCCUGGCUACGCCUAGAACGGUACACAUAGUCUUAAUAUCAUGGUUGUUUUUAUUACUAUCUAUAAAUUCUAUUACGUGGUCUAAUUUCUUGUUGCAAAUAUGGCCAUAGCUUUUUUUAAUAUUUCAUUUUCCUCUUUAAUCUUUGCCAUUUCUUUCUUUAAAGCUUUAACUUCCUUCAAAGUCAUAACUUCAUUUUCAUCCACUUUAAUUUCCUUUAUAUCUUUGAUCCAGCCGUUAAUUGUUGAUUUUGCAAUGCCAUAUUCGCUACUUAGCUCAGCCAAGCUCAUUCCUGACUUAAAUAAGUCUACUAUCAUGUCUUUAUAUUCUUGAUCAUAUCUUCUGCCCUUACUCAUAAUGGACACAUCCUUUCUUAACUAAAUAUUAUUUUACUUAGUUCGACUUAAUGUGUCCACUACUUUAUACUAACACCAGGGUAACCUGCCUCAUAGAGGGGGAUAGCCUCCCGAAAGGGAGAUUAAUACCGCAUAACAUCAUUUUAGCGCAUGCUGAAAUGAUCAAAGGAGUAAUCCGCUAUGAGAUGGACCCGCGGCGCAUUAGCUAGUUGGUGAGGUAACGGCUCACCAAGGCCACGAUGCGUAGCCGACCUGAGAGGGUGAUCGGCCACAUUGGGACUGAGACACGGCCCAGACUCCUACGGGAGGCAGCAGUGGGGAAUAUUGCACAAUGGGGGAAACCCUGAUGCAGCAACGCCGCGUGAGUGAUGACGGCCUUCGGGUUGUAAAGCUCUGUCUUUAGGGACGAUAAUGACGGUACCUAAGGAGGAAGCCACGGCUAACUACGUGCCAGCAGCCGCGGUAAUACGUAGGUGGCAAGCGUUGUCCGGAUUUACUGGGCGUAAAGGGAGCGUAGGUGGAUUCUUAAGUGAGAUGUGAAAUACCCGGGCUUAACUUGGGUGCUGCAUUUCAAACUGGGAAUCUAGAGUGCAGGAGAGGAAAGUGGAAUUCCUAGUGUAGCGGUGAAAUGCGUAGAGAUUAGGAAGAACACCAGUGGCGAAGGCGACUUUCUGGACUGUAACUGACACUGAGGCUCGAAAGCGUGGGGAGCAAACAGGAUUAGAUACCCUGGUAGUCCACGCCGUAAACGAUGGAUACUAGGUGUGGGAGGUAUCAACUCCUUCCGUGCCGCCGUUAACACAUUAAGUAUCCCGCCUGGGGAGUACGGUCGCAAGAUUAAAACUCAAAGGAAUUGACGGGGACCCGCACAAGCAGCGGAGCAUGUGGUUUAAUUCGAAGCAACGCGAAGAACCUUACCUAGACUUGACAUCUCCUGAAUUACUCUUAAUCGAGGAAGUCCCUUCGGGGACAGGAAGACAGGUGGUGCAUGGUUGUCGUCAGCUCGUGUCGUGAGAUGUUGGGUUAAGUCCCGCAACGAGCGCAACCCUUAUUGUUAGUUGCUACCAUUUAGUUGAGCACUCUAGCGAGACUGCCCGGGUUAACCGGGAGGAAGGUGGGGAUGACGUCAAAUCAUCAUGCCCCUUAUGUCUAGGGCUACACACGUGCUACAAUGGCUGGUACAAAGAGAAGCAAGACCGUGAGGUGGAGCAAAACUCAAAAACCAGUCCCAGUUCGGAUUGUAGGCUGAAACUCGCCUACAUGAAGCCGGAGUUGCUAGUAAUCGCGAAUCAGCAUGUCGCGGUGAAUACGUUCCCGGGUCUUGUACACACCGCCCGUCACACCAUGAGAGUUGGCAAUACCCGAAGUCUGUGAGCUAACCUGUAAAGGGGGCAGCGGCCGAAGGUAGGGUCAGCGAUUGGGGUGAAGUCGUAACAAGGUAGCCGUAGGAGAACCUGCGGCUGGAUCACCU
RNAcentral lists this ribosomal RNA (3090 nucleotides) under Clostridium fallax. RNAcentral describes it as "bacterial SSU rRNA". The stretch from base 1580 to 3090 matches the Rfam family "Bacterial small subunit ribosomal RNA". The record is from RNAcentral. Lineage: Bacteria; Bacillati; Bacillota; Clostridia; Eubacteriales; Clostridiaceae.